RNAcentral lists this ribosomal RNA (29 nucleotides) under Colletotrichum taiwanense. RNAcentral describes it as "partial 18S ribosomal RNA". RNAcentral also lists the same sequence under 1 other name. Lineage: Eukaryota; Fungi; Ascomycota; Sordariomycetes; Glomerellales; Glomerellaceae. The record is from RNAcentral.
UCCGUAGGUGAACCGCGGAGGGAUCAUUA